Rhipicephalus sanguineus (brown dog tick) is the source of this 862-nucleotide long non-coding RNA. RefSeq lists it as uncharacterized. The transcript has 3 exons. The record is from RefSeq and is a predicted model, not a curated record. NCBI's taxonomy places the organism in Eukaryota, Metazoa, Arthropoda, Arachnida, Ixodida, Ixodidae.
GUUAUGUCGGCAGAUCAUCGAACAGUGGGCCGCGAUGUUGGAUUUUUUUUACUGAUCGUCCCCGUAUGCAAGGGGUGGCUUGCGACUUACUGCCGGAGGUACGACGGGAGCUGUGACACGCUGACAGAGCGCCUUAACUGCCUGGGCCCCAGCAGCAGGCCGCCGCCGGAGUGACGGCUUCUAUGGCGAAGUAAGGUGGCGGCAGCGUGAGCCCGAGGCGCGAAAUCGCAGCGCAAUCAGGAGUACAGGUGGAGGGCCGUUUGAUUUGGCGACGCACGUUCGGUAGACAACGCCCGCAUCGCUUCGGCGGCCCUGCGUUCCCAAGGCCCGCGGCGUCCAGCAGCGCUGCCGAUAGUAUAGAGACAAGGAGCCGCACAGCAUUGCAAGUGCCCAUUCCAGUUCCCUGAUGGAUCUGCGGAGUCGGAUAUCUGGCACUGCGGAGAACCGAGCUGAUUGCAGUACCAGCACUCUGAAGAAGUUUCGAGGCAAGGCAAGACUGACUUCACGUGUGGAGUGGAAUCAUGUUGAUAUUCGGUGCAACGUUGGUGUGCUCACUGUGUUCAGUCAAAAAACAUUUACUGAUACAUUGAUUUAUAGUCAGCUGCCUGCUCCUAAAAUAUGGAAAUCUUGUGAUUCUCUUGGGCAGAAGAGAUCUUGCCAUAAUCACUGUCACGGCCAGAAGUGACGCUGGCCAUGGCACAGAGUUUGCACACAUCUAUGUCUUAUAUGUAUAUAAUGUAAGGUACCCAUAAAAGAGGAUGGCGGAUGUAAAUGGUGUGUGCUCGGCUUGCAAUGGAGGCAAUUGAUUCACGAAUAACUUCUACGUUUUCCUGCCUUUGUGUGAUCGGGGCCAGGGCUUUAA